UGAUGUUGCUCUAAAUGGCCUAGUUACACCAAAUUCCUCACAAACGAAUCACCCACACCCAGAGCAUCCUGAAGUAGCCCUCUAUAUGCCGCGAUGCUUGGCCCCUGUGAGACCUGGAGGAGGUGUGGGGAUGGGCCCAUGCCGGCACCUCUGGCCGAGAAGAGCACUGCAAAAGGAAGCUGCUCAGAAGCCCCUGGGUGUUUCAGGAGGAGGAUUCACCCUUUGA
This 226-nucleotide long non-coding RNA is filed under the name Anser brachyrhynchus (Pink-footed goose). RNAcentral's name for it is "lncRNA (ENSABRG00000005064.1)". Lineage: Eukaryota; Metazoa; Chordata; Aves; Anseriformes; Anatidae. The record is from RNAcentral.